CAGCAGCCGCGGGAAUACGAAGGGGGCUAGCGUUGCUCGGAAUUACUGGGCGUAAAGGGCGCGUAGGCGGAUAGUUUAGUCAGAGGUAAAAGCCCAGGGCUCAACCUUGGAACUGCCUUUGAUACUGGCUAUCUUGAGUUCGGGAGAGGUGAGUGGAAGCCGAGUGUAGAGGUGAAAUUCGUAGAUAUUCGGCGGAACACCAGUGGCGAAGGCGACUCACUGGCCCGAUACUGACGCUGAGGCGCGAAAGCGUGGGGAGCAAACAGGAUUAGAUACCCGCGUAGUCCCUGUCUCUUAUACA
This 301-nucleotide ribosomal RNA is filed under the name uncultured bacterium. RNAcentral describes it as "partial 16S ribosomal RNA". It matches the Rfam family "Bacterial small subunit ribosomal RNA", at positions 509 to 808 of the family's 1533-position model. The record is from RNAcentral.